RNAcentral lists this long non-coding RNA (507 nucleotides) under Bos indicus x Bos taurus (hybrid cattle). RNAcentral describes it as "lncRNA (ENSBIXG00005000218.1)". Lineage: Eukaryota; Metazoa; Chordata; Mammalia; Artiodactyla; Bovidae. The record is from RNAcentral.
AGUGGGGAAAAGACCAGCACCUAUGUCAGCAACUUCUGUAUUUACAGGAUGGCCUAAGAUACGAGUGUAAAGACCUGUGAUGGGGCCAGGCACACAGUCGGCGCUGGCACAUGGUAUCCUUGACUUUAUCAAUGACAUCAUCAAAUCCUUGGACCCAUCAGAAGUUCCUGACAUCAAACACACUCAUUCACACAUGCAGAGCAAUAAAAGAUGUCUCCAUGCUGAAGGAGCAUGUGGUCUGGUGGGGAAGAUGCACAUAGAUGAGAGGACGGGCAUCUGUGACCCUCAGAAGCACCUUCCUGUUUCACAGGCCUUGUCUGACCAGCAGUGUACCUGACCCCUGAAAGGCUCUGAGUUUUAAACCCUGAAAAUGAACAGCAGGAAUUUCCCUGGUGCUCCAGAGGUUAAGAAUCCAUGCUUCAGCUGCAGAGGGCACAGGUUUGAUCCCUGGUUGGGGAAAUAAGAUCCUGCGAAGUGAGGAAAAAAAUAAAUAAAAAUAAAAUAACA